Molecule: ribosomal RNA, 501 nt
Filed under: uncultured bacterium
Lineage: Bacteria
Description: partial 16S ribosomal RNA
Rfam family: Bacterial small subunit ribosomal RNA
Source: RNAcentral
AUUGAACGCUGGCGGCAUGCCUUACACAUGCAAGUCGAACGGCAGCACGGGUGCUUGCACCUGGUGGCGAGUGGCGAACGGGUGAGUAAUACAUCGGAACGUACCUUAUCGUGGGGGAUAACGCAGCGAAAGCUGUGCUAAUACCGCAUACGCCCUGAGGGGGAAAGCGGGGGAUCGUAAGACCUCGCGCGAUUAGAGCGGCCGAUGCCUGAUUAGCUUGUUGGUGGGGUAAAAGCCCACCAAGGCGACGAUCAGUAGCUGGUCUGAGAGGACGAUCAACCACACUGGGACUGAGACACGGCCCAGACUCCUACGGGAGGCAGCAGUGGGGAAUUUUGGACAAUGGGGGCCACCCUGAUCCAGCAAUGCCGCGUGAGUGAAGAAGGCCUUCGGGUUGUAAAGCUCUUUUGUCAGGGAAGAAACACCGGCUCUAACACAGUCUGGGAAUGACGGUACCUGAAGAAUAAGCACCGGCUAACUACGUGCCAGCCGCCGCCGUAA